Molecule: non-coding RNA, 91 nt
Organism: Eptesicus fuscus (big brown bat)
Lineage: Eukaryota; Metazoa; Chordata; Mammalia; Chiroptera; Vespertilionidae
Source: RefSeq, marked provisional
UGGCUCCGGACCAGGCUGUUGUUGUUCUCAACGUGGUCCGCCGCGGAGCCAUAAAAGGGAACAGCGGCAGCCUCCCCGGCGGAGCGCAGCG